CAGAGGAAGACGAAGAGACGGAGUUGGGGAGUGGAGAAGGACUGGAGUUCCUGCACAGUGAGCCAGAACACAGUCAAGAAUAAUCAACAAAAUCUAUCAGGAUUGGAAAAAUAGUUGGACUGUCAGCAGCCUCCGAUGACUCUUGCCUUGAUCCAACGUGAGCUUUAUGACGGAACUGUCGGUGAAGAGCAACGUGGGGGGAGCACCUGAGUAUUUGAGGACUCCCAACCGUAACGUGUGAGGACAGCGGAGGAGAAUCUCCAUCACAGAAGACUGGAAAUAGCUCCUUGUAACUAUUCGGUACUAUGCUACCAGAUUAUGACUCUGGCUUCUGACUCCACAGAACAAAUUGUUAACUAACAAAUCCUCAGUCCCUUGUGAAAACAGCUGGCCAGUGGACUCGAGUCUUAUCUAUAAACGCAAAGUCUACAGCACGUUGUCUGUAGAUUUCAGGAAAAGGAGGAGGUCAUGGAUCUCAUUGUCUGAUUAUAAGUGAUGGUCAUGUGAAUAAAAGGCCAAGAAAUACAUUGUGUUCCAGCAGACCAGUCCCAAUGGCUUCUCUGAUGUCUAUGCCUACAGGAAUCCUGGGAGUCAUAUGGAAGAUACUGAUUUUUGUUGGUUUUAUUUUAAUUGUAUUUACUGUAUGCAUGUAAAUGCCUUGCCUGA
Molecule: long non-coding RNA, 666 nt
Organism: Mesocricetus auratus (golden hamster)
Lineage: Eukaryota; Metazoa; Chordata; Mammalia; Rodentia; Cricetidae
Exons: 3
Source: RefSeq, a predicted model, not a curated record